Molecule: ribosomal RNA, 902 nt
Filed under: uncultured bacterium
Lineage: Bacteria
Description: bacterial SSU rRNA
Rfam family: Bacterial small subunit ribosomal RNA
Source: RNAcentral
AGAGUUUGAUUAUGGCUCAGAACGAACGCAUGGCAGCUGCUUUCACUGACAGUCAGACGGCAGCGCGGGCUUCGGCCUGGCGGCGAGUGGCGAACGGGUGAGUAAUACAUCGUGAACGUGCCCAGUAGUGGGGGAUAGCCCGGCGAAAGCCGGAUUAAUACCGCAUACGACCUGAGGGUGAAAGCGGGGGACCGAAAGGCCUCGCGCUAUUGGAGCGGCCGAUGUCGGAUUAGCUAGUUGGUGGGGUAAAGGCCUACCAAGGCGACGAUCCGUAGCUGGUCUGAGAGGACGACCAGCCACACUGGGACUGAGACACGGCCCAGACUCCUACGGGAGGCAGCAGUGGGGAAUUUUGGACAAUGGGGGCAACCCUGAUCCAGCCAUGCCGCGUGCGGGAAGAAGGCCUUCGGGUUGUAAACCGCUUUUGUCAGGGAAGAAAUCCUCUGGGCUAAUAUCCCGGGGGGAAUAACGGUCCUGGAAAAAUAACACCCGGUUAAUUCCUUGCCCCUACCCCCGGUAUUACUUAGGGGGCACCCUUUAAUCGAAUUUCCGGGCUUUAAGUCUUGCCAUGCCGGUUGUGCAAAACGAAUUUAAAAUCCCCGGCUUUACCUUGGGACUUCCUUUCUGAACUGCCCGGUUAAGUUGCGGCAAAGGGAAUUGAAUUUCCGCUGGUACAAUUGAAAUGCCUAAAUUUCCGAAGAAACCCCAAUGCUGAAGCCGGUUCCUUGGCCUUGCAUGAAGGUUCAGCACUAAAACCUGGGGAAGCAAACAGGAUAUGAUACCCUGUACGUCACCGCCUAACCAAUGUCACCUGGUCGUUGUCCUUCCCUGAUCAGUACGUACCUACUCGUGAGUUGACCGCUGGGAGUCGGCCCACGUUGAACUCAAAUGAAUUGACGGGG